AGACUGCCGGUGACAAACCGGAGGAAGGGUGGGGAUGACGUCAAGUCAUCAUGGCCCUUACGGCCUGGGCUACACACGUGCUACAAUGGUCGGUACAAAGGGUUGCCAAGCCGCGAGGUGGAGCUAAUCCCAUAAAAACCGAUCGUAGUCCGGAUCGCAGUCUGCAACUCGACUGCGUGAAGUCGGAAUCGCUAGUAAUCGUGAAUCAGAAUGUCACGGUGAAUACGUUCCCGGGCCUU
RNAcentral lists this ribosomal RNA (239 nucleotides) under uncultured Pseudomonas sp. RNAcentral's name for it is "partial 16S ribosomal RNA". It matches the Rfam family "Bacterial small subunit ribosomal RNA", at positions 1146 to 1382 of the family's 1533-position model. Lineage: Bacteria; Pseudomonadati; Pseudomonadota; Gammaproteobacteria; Pseudomonadales; Pseudomonadaceae. The record is from RNAcentral.